Long non-coding RNA from Plectropomus leopardus (leopard coralgrouper), 834 nucleotides. RefSeq lists it as uncharacterized. NCBI's taxonomy places the organism in Eukaryota, Metazoa, Chordata, Actinopteri, Perciformes, Serranidae. The record is from RefSeq and is a predicted model, not a curated record.
UGUGAUUUGGAAUGCACCCUUUGGCACUUCUUCUCCUCACUUAUCUCACUUCCUUUACCUCACUUCCUUUCCUCCCCUUUCCUCAGCACUGUUCGGUUCCUUUCACUCUUUGUUCACUGCUCAUUAUUCAUUGCUUAUUGGUACCACCUGUUCACUCCCUAUUUAAGCCCUGCACACCUUUCACUCACUCUUUCCUGAUGGUCACAUGGGGCGGCGGUGCUGAUUUACAACCCCAAGUGUUUUCUCCCCCUUUGUGUUUAUUUGCAGUUUGACUUUGGGAAAUAAACCAUUCUCAUGGCUGAUACUUCCUGACUGAUGCUCAUGAUGGUACACUUUCUUCUUCUGAACCUCCUUAACAAACACAAAUUAACAGAACAAUGAGUAUUAAUUACCUUGAGACCAACUGAUGCCUCAAAUCAUCUCGUCCAUAAGACUGUUGGGAGUACGGGCCGUCCUAGAAAAGGGGGGAAAAAAAAGCAAUUACAAAAACCUUAAGGUUCCCUGUGGAGUUUCAUUGUUUUGCCUUGUUUGUCUUCUGAGUGCAAUGUACACGCAUUUCAGAACCGGCGACACAUGCAAAUGGUUCCACUGAUCAACACGUGUUAAUGUGCAAAGAUGAUAUGCUGCAACACACCAGCAAAGACAAUGAAGUUUGUGAAGUAAAAAGUUUUAACUGGAAAAUCUUACAAAUUAUUGAUGGAAACAACAAAAGCUCCCAUGAACCCACUUUAAUGUAUUUGCUAUUCUGUUUUUGACAUUUAGUUUGGAGUCAAACAUUAGGAUAUUGUUCCUUGUUCUGACUUAAUCAUCUAAAAAUUAAAAAAUAAACCUACA